This 524-nucleotide ribosomal RNA is filed under the name uncultured bacterium. RNAcentral's name for it is "bacterial SSU rRNA". It matches the Rfam family "Bacterial small subunit ribosomal RNA", at positions 355 to 896 of the family's 1533-position model. The record is from RNAcentral.
UGGGGAAUAUUGGACAAUGGACCAAGAGUCUGAUCCAGCAAUUCUGUGUGCACGAUGAAGUUUUUCGGAAUGUAAAGUGCUUUCAGUUGGGAAGAAAGAAAUGACGGUACCAACAGAAGAAGUGACGGCUAAAUACGUGCCAGCAGCCGCGGUAAUACGUAUGUCACGAGCGUUAUCCGGAUUUAUUGGGCGUAAAGCGCGUCUAGGUGGUUAUGUAAGUCUGAUGUGAAAAUGCAGGGCUCAACGCUGGAUUGCGUUGGAAACUGUAUAACUAGAGUACUGGAGAGGUAAGCGGAACUACAAGUGUAGAGGUGAAAUUCGUAGAUAUUUGUAGGAAUGCCGAUGGGGAAGCCAGCUUACUGGACAGAUACUGACGCUGAAGCGCGAAAGCGUGGGUAGCAAACAGGAUUAGAUACCCUGGUAGUCCACGCCGUAAACGAUGAUUACUAGGUGUUGGGGGUCGAACCUCAGCGCCCAAGCAAACGCGAUAAGUAAUCCGCCUGGGGAGUACGUACGCAAGUAUG